This 381-nucleotide long non-coding RNA is filed under the name Salmo salar (Atlantic salmon). RNAcentral's name for it is "lncRNA (ENSSSAG00000096278.1, ENSSSAG00075067365.1)". Lineage: Eukaryota; Metazoa; Chordata; Actinopteri; Salmoniformes; Salmonidae. The record is from RNAcentral.
GAGGGAGGCAGGUCAGGGUUUUGCCCGCUGAAUGAUACACCCUAUGACGGAUUCCGGUGUUUUGAUGAUGGGGGGGGGGGGACUAACAACAAUUCUUUGGGCAAAACUGAAAGAACUGACCAGACACAAUGGCUUCAAAUGAUUCCUCUCAUCAACACGCAUUUGAGGAUGGAGCAACUAUUACCUACAAGCCAGGGCGGGAUCAGCCAGCGGCGGCGUCCCGCAUGUGCGAUUCAUUUGCAGUCUGGACGCGGAAGGGUGAACAUCUCCUGCUCUGACUGCAGCUGGGAGGGACUGCUGCGCGAGGACUGGGCCGGAUGACAAUGACCCAAAACACACCUCCAGGCUGUGUAAGGGCUAUUUGACCAAGGAGAGUGAUGG